GAUGAACGCUAGCUACAGGCUUAACACAUGCAAGUCGAGGGGUAACAAGAGAAGAGCUUGCUUUUCUUGUUGACGACCGGCGCACGGGUGAGUAACGCGUAUCCAACCUGCCUAUAACUAGGGAAUAACCUUGCGAAAGUAAGACUAAUACCCUAUGAUUUCCUUUGAUGACAUCAGAUUAGGAAUAAAGAUUUAUCGGUUAUAGAUGGGGAUGCGUCUGAUUAGCUUGUUGGCGGGGUAACGGCCCACCAAGGCAACGAUCAGUAGGGGUUCUGAGAGGAAGGUCCCCCACAUUGGAACUGAGACACGGUCCAAACUCCUACGGGAGGCAGCAGUGAGGAAUAUUGGUCAAUGGGCGGAAGCCUGAACCAGCCAAGUAGCGUGCAGGAUGACGGCCCUAUGGGUUGCAAACUGCUUUUAUACAGGAAUAAAGUUAGCCACGUGUGGUUAUUUGUAGGUACUGUAUGAAUAAGGACCGGCUAAUUCCGUGCCAGCCGCCGCAGUAA
RNAcentral lists this ribosomal RNA (506 nucleotides) under uncultured bacterium. RNAcentral's name for it is "partial 16S ribosomal RNA". It matches the Rfam family "Bacterial small subunit ribosomal RNA", at positions 28 to 523 of the family's 1533-position model. The record is from RNAcentral.